Molecule: non-coding RNA, 219 nt
Filed under: uncultured Blautia sp.
Lineage: Bacteria; Bacillati; Bacillota; Clostridia; Lachnospirales; Lachnospiraceae
Source: RNAcentral
AAAUCCUGCACGAAAAGAGAAUAACCACCUCAUUCGUUAGUGAGUCUUGCAUGGCUCUGGGUAACUGGAAUCAUGAAGCGUAGACAGCGAGGUAACAGGGUGAGUAUUGAGCACUGAAAUCCCUUAAUCUAGGAAGCCGACCAAGUGGGUCUCUGGGAAGGCAACAUGUGGGUUUAUCGUUAUGGUGAGAUUUCACACAUUCCUACGGUGUCAUAGACC